UCCCUCAUGUACUUGCAUUUAGAUAGAACUUUAGGGGAACAGAAUGUAUUCAUAAAAAAACAGUUGACAUUGACUUUCCAGUCAAAGCAAAGUACCCUACCUUGGUUUACAAUAUGUCUCUUCUAAGAGCUCUGUUGGGAAGGUUAAAAAAAAAAAAAAACUUCUGUUUUGGCCAUAGAAUUAUUUUAUUUAUACUUUUAAGAUCCAUGAAUAUUAAAAUAAUACAAAUUUUCUGUGAUAAUUCAAAAUUAUAAAAUUUGAAUAAGGGCUAAACUCAUAUUUUCCUACACUGACUAGACCUUUUCUUAUGAAAUAGUUGAAUUAAUACUAGCUACUCAUCCAUCAUCAGAAAUGAUUCAUGGUACUACAUUAAAAAAAAGCGUGUUUUAUAUCAGUUCUUCAGUCUGUUUUACACCUCUUUGACCAGUCUGAAAUUUGUAUCAGGCUUGCAAUGGACAUUUAGAGGUUUGCUUAGUUCUGUUUCAAAGGAAGAAUGUGAUUUGGGAAGAUUAAUUCUUAAUGUUGUUGCUGUAAUUCUUAAUAUUGUUGCUAAUUCUUAAUAUUGCUGCAGUGCAUGUGGUGUCAGGUUUGCUUCCUACCCCAUCAUCCCUCGUCAGCUAGUAAGGUCUUUGGGAAUCUGAGUUUGCUCUUUAACAGAAACGAGUCUAAUUCAGAUUAGGAGAUUCUUUUUAAGUGUUAUGUCAAGGUAAAGAUAAAAUAGGAGGCUAACCCAUCUGAACUUCACAAAUACUACUGGUAAUGGUUGGACUAUGUCCUUCAAAAAUUCAUAGGCUGAAGUCCUAACCCUUAGUAUUUCAGAGUGUGACUUUAUUGGGAAAGAGGUCAUUGUUUGCAGAUGUAAUUAGUUAAGAUGAGGUGAUAUUGCAGUAGGGUGGGUUCUAAUCCAGUAUGACUGGUGUCCCUACUAAAGGGGGGAAUCUGGCCAAAGGCACACAGGGAGAAUGUGUAUGCAGGCAGAAAUCAGGGAGAUGUAGCAGAGGCCAAAGAAUGCCCAAGAUUGCCAGCAGAACUAGAGAAGAGGCAUGGAAGAGAUGCUCUCCCAGCCAUCAGAAGGAACUGUAAUCAGACUAUUGUCCCAGAAUCAGACUCCUGACCCUCCUGAAUAAAGACCAACUACUCUUAAAUUAGUUUCAAAAGGAAGCUGCAAAGAGAGAAAAUAAGAACUGGUUAGAACCAACUAGGCCCAAGAUGGAGGAAGAUUUGACUUCCAGAAGAACUUGAGCCUCAUUGCGUGCUCAUUGUAUUACCUUAGCACGCUGAAUGACACACCCACCAAUGCCAGGACAGUUGAUGGUUGCCAUGACAACAACCGGAAGCGCUCAGACAAGGACUGAAAAGGAGAGCUGCAUGCGUCCCAGGUCCACACCAAAUUCAUCUGUAGCUGCCCAAGAGCUGCUUCUGCCAUGAGAUAGAUGGUAAGCUCUACGAAUUCAGAAGUCAUGGGAACAUGUUAAAAAUAACAGACCACAUCUGCUGUAUCCUCAAGGGUUGAGCUGAGUACCAGGGAGGACAGCUGAAAUGGGUCGGGACGCUCGGGCAGCCCCGUGAAGCCCACAUUCUGGUGAACUGAGGCCUCUGCCAGCAUCAUCUGAGGAAGCCAUUUUGGAAGUGGAGCCUCUAAUUGUGGUCAGCUCAGCAGACGACUCCUCACCAAGUUGCAGCUCUGGCUGACAGCUUGACUGCAACCCCUUGAGAUCUCUUGAGCCAGAAGCUCCUAGCUAAGCUGUUCC
Non-coding RNA from Odocoileus virginianus texanus, 1751 nucleotides. The record is from RefSeq and is a predicted model, not a curated record. NCBI's taxonomy places the organism in Eukaryota, Metazoa, Chordata, Mammalia, Artiodactyla, Cervidae.